UUGUUCCGGUCCAUUCCGGCCCAAUUUGGUAUUUCGGUCCGGACUUAAGAUGUCUGACAAUUUGGUAAAUUGUCUGAAAUGGUAGGAUGAACUUGUAAUUUUGAAUUCUUUUUCUCCUUCCUUGUGAGCCUGCGAUGAAGCAAAUCAGUUUCACUUUCCCUCAAUUUCCUAAUCCCUAAUUUCUCUCCUACCCUACGCCAGACACCUUCCGGCCUCCAGCCUUCCGCCACAAGCAGCAGCUCGUUUACUCAGUCUACUCCGCCGCAGCUCCUCUUGUUCCACCGCAGGUCGUCGUUGAUCUCCAUUCCGCCGGAUAAUUUGAGUAGGAAUCCUAUUUGGUAUCUUUCUUGGUGUUAUAGAAAAGCCCUAGAAAUGAACUCAGUGAGAACGCUUGCGUCGAGCCUCUUACGGUGGCCGAGUCAGACCAUUGAGUGGUGCAGUUGUGCGCCUCAUUACCAACCGCUGCAGCUACAGCAGUGGAGGGGGAUCCGGGUGAAGGUCCGGGACGGGAACCUGGAGCAAGCGCUGACUUUGUUGCAGCGGAGGAUGCAGUCAAGUGGGAUUGAGCGGCUUAUAAAGCGCCAGCAGACUCGCCACCUCAAGAACUCUGAGAAGCGUGUCUUGGCCCGCAAGAACCUUGAGCGCAAGAUCCGAUCCCAGGACCUCGCACGCAAGCUCAAAGCCAUUCUUGUCAAGAAAGUCAGGGGUCUCUAAGGACAGCUUCGGAGUAGUU
This is an RNA transcript of Juglans microcarpa x Juglans regia, 733 nucleotides long. It is a transcript of the gene named 30S ribosomal protein S21, with no coding region annotated. Lineage: Eukaryota; Viridiplantae; Streptophyta; Magnoliopsida; Fagales; Juglandaceae. The record is from RefSeq and is a predicted model, not a curated record. The transcript is spliced from 4 exons.